AUACAUACAAAAAAUAUUACAUAUAUACAAAAAAUAAAACAUACAUACAAAAAAAUUUACAUAUAUAUACAAAAAAAUAUAUACAAAAAAUUACAUAUAUACAUACUAUAUAUACUAGAAAUAUAUACAAAAAAUUACAUAUAUAUAAAAAAAAUAUAUACAUACUAUAUAUAAUAUACAUACUAUAUAUAAUACUACA
RNAcentral lists this long non-coding RNA (199 nucleotides) under Sorghum bicolor (sorghum). RNAcentral's name for it is "long non-coding RNA (SBIC_LNC009407)". Lineage: Eukaryota; Viridiplantae; Streptophyta; Magnoliopsida; Poales; Poaceae. The record is from RNAcentral.